This is a long non-coding RNA of Armigeres subalbatus, 1126 nucleotides long. RefSeq lists it as uncharacterized. Lineage: Eukaryota; Metazoa; Arthropoda; Insecta; Diptera; Culicidae. The record is from RefSeq and is a predicted model, not a curated record. The transcript has 3 exons.
UCGUAGCAUAAAAAAUUGUUUGAGAUCACUGAAUCUUCCGCAUAGGCCGUCCGAUGAAGUAUUGCGAAAUGCGUUGAUCGAAAUCGAGAACACGAUAAACUCAAGACCGCUUACACACAUUCCUAUUGAAGAUGAGUCAGCCCCAGUUCUAACCCCCAACCACAUCCUUCUUGGGAGUUCUAAUGGAGUUAAACCGCUUACGGCACUCAACGAUACUAGCACCAUCGUGCGGCAAUGCUGGCGUUCUUCCCAAAUUAUUGCCAACCAAUUUUGGAGACGCUGGAUAUUGCAGUAUUUACCAGAAAUAACAAGGAGAACGAAGUGGUAUUCCCACACAGCGCGACCAGUGAAAGUCGGUGACAUAGUUGUUAUCGUGGAUCAAACACUUCCUCGCAAUUGCUGGCCAAAGGGUCGGAUAAUAGCAGUUCGUCCAAGUAAAGAUGGAGAAGUAAGAUCAGCAACAGUUCGUACGAUUGCUGGUAUAUACGAAAGGCCGGUGGUCAAGCUAGCAGUACUGGACGUCGAGCGCGAAGUGGAGUAGCAGUCUGAGGAGUCAGCGUACCUGGGGGGAGUGUUGGCGAGGCAGCUUGCUGCCAGCGCGCAUCUAUGCAUUCAGUAAGCUUAUCCACAAACACAACCGACGAAGAGCUGCUAUAGGUAAUGUAAAAGUUUGCAACGUCAAUUAGCGAAGUAAGGAUAUAUAAACAAAAUCGAGAAGUCGCCUUAAAAUCUAAAAGCUAAACUAAAUUACAAUUGUUUCUAUUCUAAACUAAAAAUAAUUAUUAUAAAGUUGGGAAGUUCUUAUUACUACAGUGGUUUAUAUUAGCUAGAUUCCCAACAUAAAUUGUUUCGAGCCUAACCCUAAUUCCCAUCUAACGUAAAAAGCGCACAAUCACGAAAUCGACAGAAAGCUACGAACGACCACAUAAGGGACUAAACGUAAGUCAACUAAUCUAAGAACAAACUAUGAAUCUUAUGAAAGCACUGAUUGUAUAACAUAAACUUAUAUCUAUUAUUACACUACAUAAAUGAAUUAUGAGUAAAUUAUGCUAUUACAAUUAUGUAUAACGUUACCUUUGCCAGGAAAAUUAUAAUUCAGCCGUUGAACAACACCCAGUCUCGUGUU